RNAcentral lists this ribosomal RNA (235 nucleotides) under uncultured bacterium. RNAcentral's name for it is "partial 16S ribosomal RNA". It matches the Rfam family "Bacterial small subunit ribosomal RNA", at positions 99 to 334 of the family's 1533-position model. The record is from RNAcentral.
CGGACGGGUGAGUAACGCGUGGGUAACCUGCCUCAUACAGGGGGAUAGCAGCUGGAAACGGUUGGUAAUACCGCAUAAGCGCACAGUACCACAUGGUACAGUGUGAAAAACUCCGGUGGUAUGAGAUGGACCCGCGUCUGAUUAGCUAGUUGGCGGGGUAACGGCCCACCAAGGCGACGAUCAGUAGCCGACCUGAGAGGGUGACCGGCCACAUUGGGACUGAGACACGGCCCAG